GACGAACGCUGGCGGCGUGCUUAACACAUGCAAGUCGAACGGAAAGGCCCUGCUUUUGUGGGGUGCUCGAGUGGCGAACGGGUGAGUAACACGUGAGUAACCUGCCCUUGACUUUGGGAUAACUUCAGGAAACUGGGGCUAAUACCGGAUAGGAGCUCCUGCUGCAUGGUGGGGGGUGGAAAGUUUCGGCGGUUGGGGAUGGACUCGCGGCUUAUCAGCUUGUUGGUGGGGUAGUGGCUUACCAAGGCUUUGACGGGUAGCCGGCCUGAGAGGGUGACCGGCCACAUUGGGACUGCGAUACGGCCCAGACUCCUACGGGAGGCAGCAGUGGGGAAUAUUGCACAAUGGGCGGAAGCCUGAUGCAGCAACGCCGCGUGCGGGAUGCCGGCCUUCGGGUUGUAAACCGCUUUCGCCUGUGACGAAGCGUGAGUGACGGUAAUGGGUAAAGAAGCACCGGCUAACUACGUG
This 468-nucleotide ribosomal RNA is filed under the name uncultured bacterium. RNAcentral describes it as "partial 16S ribosomal RNA". It matches the Rfam family "Bacterial small subunit ribosomal RNA", at positions 28 to 507 of the family's 1533-position model. The record is from RNAcentral.